Long non-coding RNA from Brassica oleracea var. oleracea, 443 nucleotides. RefSeq lists it as uncharacterized. NCBI's taxonomy places the organism in Eukaryota, Viridiplantae, Streptophyta, Magnoliopsida, Brassicales, Brassicaceae. The transcript has 2 exons. The record is from RefSeq and is a predicted model, not a curated record.
GCAAUAUACAGAAAAUAAAUUGGCACAAAAGAGCGAAAAGUAAAACUCACUCAUCAAGAAUCAUGAGAUCUGCUAGUAUCUUUCUGGUUUCUUGUAUUCUCAUGUUCUUCAUCAUGAACAAUGUCAAAGACGUGGAAGCUGGAUUGACUCCAAUGGAUAACCAAUGCGGCCGGAAGGAUAUAUUUGUCGGGGGAUGCGGUCCUGACGGAAACAAAACGUGCAUAAACGACUUUGUUAAGAAAGGAGGUGAAGGGAAUAGGCCUUCUAGUUGCGAGUGUGAUGACUUCGGCGAAGAACAUUUAUGCCGAUGUAAUUUCUCUUGCUAGCUUUUGUUAUCGUCUAUAAACAAAAUUCUGUAACCGAAAAUAGUGGAGAAUAAUAACACAGAACAAACUAUUUUUUGUUGUGUGUCUAAAAUCAUAAGAAAGUUUGAAAAUAAAAAA